UAUCUGUGUUUUGUUAGAAGGCCUUUGGCCCUUAAGUUUUAAUGAGGCAUCUUGGUUUGUUUUCAAGGAGUUGUAUGUCUUUUAAAAUAAAUAAAUAGUUUGUAAGAAUUAGCUCUUGUGUGUGUGUGUGUGUGUGUAAAAGAGGUGCAUUUAUAGCAAAAAGCUGAAAUGCAUGUUGUGGGAGGGGGAAAAAAAUCCUAAAAAAAAAAAAAGUGCUUACAAUAAAACAAGCAGGACUAGUUCAGACAUGUUUGAGUAUAAUACAGUUAGUAUGGAGAUAUACUUAUCUCAUAGACCUGCCUUUACUAGCAGGAUCAAAUAUUGAUUUUUGCCCCAGGUCCCUACAACUCUGGGUUUACCAGGCCAUUACUCAAACCACUAAGAGCUGUUAGCAACUAUUUGAAAAAACAAUGGGGAUAAGAGGCUAUAAAAAUCUUAGGUAUUCUGGAGUCUGUCCUUUUAACAGAAAACCUUCUUGGAUAGCUGCUGGACUCAAAAAGAGGUAAGACUUUGUGUCCUUAACUUUGAAAAUAUAAUGCCACUUUUUGCCCAUGCUGUCUUUUAGUAAAUAAUGGUGCCUAUAUGUAUUGCAGGGUGAUCUGUUUAGCAUGGAACCAGGCCAAGGCCCAAACACACAUGGGGGGGAACAGAACAACCAUGUCCCUGCAACACUUUAUCCCAUAGUGAAAGUACUGUCAAAACAUGAGAGAUUCUUAGACCAGAGGGAAAACAAGCUCAAAAGAAAAAGGAAGGAGACAGAUGAAAAGGAAAAUUCACCAGCAUCAGUGACUGAUAGAUGGAUGAAGCCCAGCAUGGGCAACCUUUCUGAAAAU
Long non-coding RNA from Mauremys mutica (yellowpond turtle), 833 nucleotides. RefSeq lists it as uncharacterized. The record is from RefSeq and is a predicted model, not a curated record. The transcript is spliced from 4 exons. NCBI's taxonomy places the organism in Eukaryota, Metazoa, Chordata, Testudines, Geoemydidae.